AACCUGUCGUUGAGGUGGGGAUACCGCUGGGAAACCGGCGCUAAUACCGCAUGUGGUUCUGUCUGUAAGGGACAGAAAGAAAGCAGCAAUGCGCUCGAUGAGGGGCCUGCGUCCGAUUAGCUGGUUGGUGGGGUAAAGGCCUACCAAGGCGUCGAUCGGUAGCUGGUCUGAGAGGAUGGUCAGCCACACUGGGACUGAGACACGGCCCAG
This 210-nucleotide ribosomal RNA is filed under the name uncultured bacterium. Its description in RNAcentral is "partial 16S ribosomal RNA". It matches the Rfam family "Bacterial small subunit ribosomal RNA", at positions 123 to 334 of the family's 1533-position model. The record is from RNAcentral.